RNAcentral lists this long non-coding RNA (2705 nucleotides) under Macaca fascicularis (crab-eating macaque). RNAcentral's name for it is "lncRNA (ENSMFAG00000057007.1)". Lineage: Eukaryota; Metazoa; Chordata; Mammalia; Primates; Cercopithecidae. The record is from RNAcentral.
CUGGAAAGUCUUCUUGCUCUCCCAUUAAGUGGCCAUGGCUCCAACUGCCUGAGCUACUGAGAAGUGUGGCCAAGUAUUUUGUUGCACUCUUUGCCUCUCAUGGUGUGAGUUUAGUCUUUUCAGUCAGCUUGGAAGCUUCCCAACGGCUGAGCCAGAAUGUUUCUGUCUCAGUUUUCGGCAGCAGGCUGGUCACAGGCAGGGAGGGAAAAGGAAAGAAGUUGGGGAACAGCCCCCUUACAUUCUCUCUCAUCUGCGGGCCAGCGCCAGCAACUGCUGCUGAAACUGAUCUGGCUAAGGGAUGACAGGCUCAGUUUGGCAGUUGGAAGGUAGGACUAGGUUCAGACUUCUCCCUGCAUAUUUCUCUGUGGAGGACCCUUCCUUUCUCUGUCUAUCCUGUUCUGCAGGGAGGCCAGGAUACCCUCUCCUGCCCCUGUCUCGAUUACUCUCUUCCCUGUGCUGACUCUCUCUCCAGAGCUCUUCUUCCUAACCCUUCUGCUCCCGGCCAUGAGAAACUAUCCUUGCCCACAUGAGGGUUCCAAGUGUGCUGAAGAGGACAGUCAUGGCGAGAGGUUUGGUUCCACCUGAGCCUAUGAUCUGGCAGAUGUUGGAGCAGUUGCAAAGUGGCCAGGAAGGCAAGGGUCAUACCCUGGAGGCUGCCAGGACAGAGGACCAAGAUGCCUGGAGGGAACACAACCUCCUCAGCUUUGAAUGCAGUCUUCUGGACAGUAACAGUAGCUGGGAACUUUUAUGGAAGCCAGAUCCCCAGAGGAGCACCCUUUCUAUACUGGAGCCCAGAAGCUUUCAGCUCCAUGCCCAGAGUCUUAAGCAAGAGGGCCUAUUCCUUUGGGGCCCCAAGAUGCUCUUGAAUGACCUGUAAGGACUCGUUAAGAGUAGUAAGAUGAAGGCUUCUUUGCCCACCCUCCCCUCCAAGGCCCUGUUUCUGGACUGCCUGCCUCUACCCUCUUGAUGUAGCUAUUAUUUGUCCUCUCUACUGAGGCUUUUCACUGCUUGCCCAUCCUUGUCGCUGGGCUGCAAUAAAAUGGUUUAACUCUCCCUGAUGUGUUUUCUAUGAGUCAGCACCCACAUGGGAUAGAAUCAGCUGUACCUGUUCAUCUUCCUGUUACUUGAAGUGCUUUCUAUGACCUCUACCCCUGAAAUCCAAGUUCAUAGACAUUUAUAGCUGUAUCUUUUUUUUUUUUUUGAGACAGAGUCUUGUUAUGUUGCCCAGGCUGGAGUACAGUGGUGCCAUCUCAGCUCACUGCAACCUCUGCCUCCUAGGUUUAAGCGAUUCUCCUGCCUCAGCCUCCCAAGUAGCUGGGAUUAUAGGUGUGCGCCAUCACGCCUGGCUAAUUUUUGUAUUCUUAGGAGAGACGGGGUUUCACCAUGUUGGCCAGUCUGGUCUUGAACUUCUGACCUCAAGUGAUCUGCCCGCCUUGACCUCCCAAAGUGCUGGGAUUACAGUUGUGAGCCACUGUGCCCAGCCUAUAGCUGUACCUUCUGAGUGCAAGCUCAGUUGAAAUUGAAAAGUAAUGGGAGCUCCCAUUCUGGUGAGGAGAAUGAGGUAGGACACUACUCUGGGGCAGUAGUGCUAGGGGGAUGCAAAGGAGGAUGAGAUAUUCUGAUGGGACCUGGAUCUGGACAGUAGGAGGCUACCUUUUCUCAUCUCCAGCUUCUGGCAAUUUUUUUUUUUUUUUUUUUUUGAGACAAGGUCUUAUUCUGUUGCCCGGGCUGGAGUGCAGUGGCAUGAUCUGGCUCACGGAAGCCUCUGCCCCUGGACUAAAGCAAUCCUCCCACCUUAGCCUCCCAAGUAAUAAUAUAUGGGACUAUAGGCACACGCUAUCAUGCCUGGCUAAGUUUUAAAUAUUUUUUGUAGAGACAGGGUUUCACCAUGUUGCCCAGGCUAGUCUUGAACUCCUGGGCUCAACUGCUGCACCAACUUCAGGCUCUCAAAGUGUUCGGAUUACAAGUGUGAGCUGCUACCAUGCCUAGCCCCAGCUUCUGCUGCUUGAGGCUCUCUUUGGCAUCUCCACACAUCAUCCUUAGCAGCCCAGAUUGCAUUUCUGUAGCAGCCUGUUCCCUGGUCUCUUCUUUCACUCUCUCUGCCUCUAAUACAGUGGCUUUAAGAAUUUUUUGGCUGUGACUUCCAGUAAGAAAUACAAUUUACAUUGUGACCUAGUAAAUAUGUGUGUAGAUUUAUUAACUGAAACAAAAAUGUUAUGAUUUAAUUUUUAUCCUUACUAGGAGUGAUACACUGAUAUUUUCUAUUAUAUUUCAUUAAAAAAUGCCUUGUGACUAAUGAUCCUGAUCCUUUCACUACUUGGACAUCACAGAACAUGAACUGCAUAGGUCCACUUUUUUUUUCUUUUGAGAUGCACUCUGUUACCCAGGCCGGAGUGCAGUGGCGAGAUCACAGCUCACUGCAGCCUCAACUUCCCAAGCUCAAGCGAUCCUCCCACCUCAGCCUCCCAUGUAGCUGGGACGACAGGCAUGCGCCACCACACCCGGCUAAUUUUUUGUCCUUUUUGUAAAGAUAGGGUUUCGCCAUCUUGCCCAGGCUGGUCUCGAACUCCUGGGCUCAAGUGAUGCUCCUGCCUCAGCUUCCCUAGUAGCUAGUACUACAGGCAUGUGAUACGACACCCACUAAUUAAAAAAAGAUUUUUGUUUGUAGAGAUGUGUGUCACUAUGUUGCCCAGGCUGGUCUCAAA